UGCCUAGUCCUUAACAGUCACAUGACCACA
RNAcentral lists this non-coding RNA (30 nucleotides) under Mus musculus (house mouse). Lineage: Eukaryota; Metazoa; Chordata; Mammalia; Rodentia; Muridae. The record is from RNAcentral.